CAGUAGCCGCGGUAAUACGUAGGGUGCAAGCGUUAAUCGGAAUUACUGGGCGUAAAGCGUGCACAGGCGGUUAUAUAAGACAGAUGUGAAAUCCCCGGGCUCAACCUGGGAACUGCAUUUGUGACUGUAUAGCUAGAGUACGGCAGAGGGGGAUGGAAUUCCGCGUGUAGCAGUGAAAUGCGUAGAUAUGCGGAGGAACACCGAUGGCGAAGGCAAUCCCCUGGGCCUGUACUGACGCUCAUGCACGAAAGCGUGGGGAGCAAACAGGAUUAGAUACCCCGGUAGUCCCUGUCUCUUAUAC
This 301-nucleotide ribosomal RNA is filed under the name uncultured bacterium. Its description in RNAcentral is "partial 16S ribosomal RNA". It matches the Rfam family "Bacterial small subunit ribosomal RNA", at positions 509 to 807 of the family's 1533-position model. The record is from RNAcentral.